UACGGAGGGAGCUAGCGUUGUUCGGAAAUACUGGGCGUAAAGCGCACGUAGGCGGCGCCGUAAGUCAGGGGUGAAAUCCCGGGGCUCAACCCCGGAACUGCCCUUGAAACUGCAGUGCUAGAAUCUUGGAGAGGUCAGUGGAAUUCCGAGUGUAGAGGUGAAAUUCGUAGAUAUUCGGAAGAACACCAGUGGCGAAGGCGACUGACUGGACAAGUAUUGACGCUGAGGUGCGAAAGCGUGGGGAGCAAACAGG
This 253-nucleotide ribosomal RNA is filed under the name uncultured bacterium. RNAcentral describes it as "partial 16S ribosomal RNA". It matches the Rfam family "Bacterial small subunit ribosomal RNA", at positions 524 to 776 of the family's 1533-position model. RNAcentral also lists the same sequence under 1 other name. The record is from RNAcentral.